Molecule: unclassified non-coding RNA, 2483 nt
Filed under: Hevea brasiliensis (rubber tree)
Lineage: Eukaryota; Viridiplantae; Streptophyta; Magnoliopsida; Malpighiales; Euphorbiaceae
Source: RNAcentral
ACAUUCUAUGGCUAGUAGCUAAAUAGUUUUCCUUCAAAACGAAAAAAAAUCUCUCUGAUGCUUUAGAGAGAGGGAUAGAGAGAGAGAAAAUCUCCGAGAAAUGCGGUCCAUACCUUUGGGAAUUGCAGUGUCCCCUACCUCCAUAAACAACAAACUUAAUUUUAAUUUCAAGAAACAGCAAAAGCAGCAGCAGCAACAGCAACAGUCCUUCUUUAACUGUUCUUCUUGUAGGGUUUCUCAUGAACCCUCUCUCUCCCCUCUCUCCAAAUCAGGAGUAUGCCGAGCGAGUCAAGUGGUUGAAUUAUUCCCUACUGUGUCUCCCGAGAUUGUUGUGAGGGAGGCAAGGCUAGAGGAUUGUUGGGAAGUGGCAGAGACGCACUGCAGCUCCUUCUUCCCUGACUAUUCUUUCCCCCUAGAUUUUGUGUUGAGGAUUGACAGGCUGGUAGGGAUGUUAUCAGGAUUCUCUAUACCAAAUGGUUGCAAGAGAACUUGUCUGGUUGCUGUCGUUGGUAACUCAGGUGAUGUGUCUUUCUGCUUUGGAAGUGAAGAUUUCAAAAUUGGAGGUUUUGAUGGGAAAUUCAGUCUCAAUAGAGGAUAUGUUACUGGAAUAUUGACUGUGGAUACAGUGGCUGAUUUUCUUCCAAGAAAAGGCCCACUUCGGCAAAGAAGGUGAGUUUAAAAGUUACUACUGGCACAGUCAGGUUUCGAUGACUACCUAAACAUUGUGUUCCAUCAAGCUUUCAGGUGUUUACGAUUUUAUUUGGAUAAAAUUUUUUUGGGUAAUUGGUAAACAAGUGUACUGCUUUCUUCUUGUUGAGUGUGAAUUACAUUGGUUGUUGACUCCUUUAUGAUAAUCCUACUUUAUGAUGCUACCUUUGUUCUUCAAGUGACUUCCAUCUUGUAUCCUUCAUCAUUCUUUUUUACAAAUACAUUAUAUCUAACUUGGAUAGGCUGGAAAAGAGAAGCUCUGGCAACAUGCAUUUGACAAAGAUUUGGAGAAGCAUUUUGCCUUAUCUCUUUCUUGUUCCCCUUCCUCUUUCAUUCUUCUCUUUCUUCACUUAGUUGUAUCAUGUGUACAAGUCAUUGCUCAUCUUCCCUCCCUUGAUAUGAAGAACCCUCUGCUAUACAAUGCUAUUAAUAAUGGUUAUAUAGCUGAAGUAAAUAUCAGAUAAUUGAUUUUUCUAGUUUUGUUCUUUGUAUGAAUUGCUGGUAUUAGCUAUUUGAUUGAGACAUUAGCUUACUUGGAGCCUGAUAUUGUACCUUGCUUGUUUACUGAGGAGAUUUUGAUGAAAUAAUUCAUGAAUUUUCAUUAUGUUUUUCUGGUUCUGCAAUUCCAAUGUCCAAUAAAAUGUCUGAGAAUGGUAAGAAAUACAACUUGUAGUGAUGGCAUUCAUGCAAGUAUCAUAUUUGUAAAUUUUGAGUUUUGGCAUUUGGUAUCCUGCCCCUUCUUUGACAUUCAUUCCUGGUCUAUGUAUUGAAUCUCCCCCGAAAAAGGAGACUCGUAUAGAUUCUGAACUUGAGAAGCUGGUUCUUGAUUUAAGUUAUAGAUUAUUGAAUGACAUCUCCCUAAAGGUACAAUAUAAUGUUUAAGCUUAUUAGAAACAUUGUAGUUUGUUAGAAGUGUUGAUGUUGAUGUUGUUUCAAAGAAACUUUGAGUCCAUGUCCUCCUUAAGUCUCAGUUAUGUUUCUUUUUCUUAUUAAACAAUAUGAUUUGAAUUCCAAAUGGCCUGCUUCAGUGUGAAUAGAAUUGUAUUUCAAGUAAAUUUGUUCUGACUAAUUUGGCCUUUUCCAUUCCUGCAUAAACAUAUUGCUGAUGAUAUCUGAUCUUGGAUUCAUUGAGUAGUACUUGAUUUUGUUAGGAAUUCUUAACUUUUAUUACUAUGUGCAUAUAACCCUGUUGUUAAUGUAUGACCAUGCAUCUACUGUUAUAUGGGUGAUCUUUCUGACUUAAUGGAGUUGAUUUUGGAUAGUUGGUUUCCCCUUCUAGAAACUUUCAAGAAAACUUGAAGUUGCUUUUCAGCAUCCUGGAUGUAUUAUACUACUGCAUUCGAUAGAAAAUAAGGAAAAUUAUUGGAACUCCCUGGAGUGAAAAAUGUGAUUUGGUUCUCUGAUUUCUCUGCAAAGCCAUUAGUUUAGAACUUGAUCCUAUUGCCUAAGCUGACAAGUAUCAUUAUGAACCCAAAAUUGGAAUUUAUGAACUUACUGCUGCACUGACCUGAGAUUGAUGUGCAGAGAAAGAAAGGUAGAAUUAUGAAAACACCCUUGAAUGAAAUUUACAGUUUAGUUCUCUGAUUUAUUUGCAUACCCUUAGUUUAGAACUCUUAUGGCCUAAUCUGAAAAAUAUCAUCAUGGACCCGAAGUUGGAUAUCUAUGAACUUGAAGUGAGAUUAAUGUGCAGAGGGAGAGAGUACAAAAUGAGUCCAAACUUUGUUUUGUUAUGGUGUGCUAAUUGGUGUACAUGGCUCUUAUUCUUUCAAUCUGGA